This 600-nucleotide ribosomal RNA is filed under the name uncultured bacterium. Its description in RNAcentral is "bacterial SSU rRNA". It matches the Rfam family "Bacterial small subunit ribosomal RNA", at positions 82 to 678 of the family's 1533-position model. The record is from RNAcentral.
GCUCUCUGAUUCAGCGGCGGACGGGUGAGUAAUGCCUAGGAAUCUGCCUGAUAGUGGGGGACAACGUUUCGAAAGGAACGCUAAUACCGCAUACGUCCUACGGGAGAAAGCAGGGGACCUUCGGGCCUUGCGCUAUCAGAUGAGCCUAGGUCGGAUUAGCUAGUUGGUGAGGUAACGGCUCACCAAGGCGACGAUCCGUAACUGGUCUGAGAGGAUGAUCAGUCACACUGGAACUGAGACACGGUCCAGACUCCUACGGGAGGCAGCAGUGGGGAAUAUUGGACAAUGGGCGAAAGCCUGAUCCAGCCAUGCCGCGUGUGUGGAGAAGGUCUUCGGAUUGUAAAGCACUUUAAGUUGGGAGGAAGGGCAGUAAGUUAAUACCUUGCUGUUUUGACGUUACCGACAGAAUAAGCACCGGCUAACUUCGUGCCAGCAGCCGCGGUAAUACGAAGGGUGCAAGCGUUAAUCGGAAUUACUGGGCGUAAAGCGCGCGUAGGUGGUUUGUUAAGUUGGAAGUGAAAGCCCCGGGCUCAACCUGGGAACUGCUUUCAAAACUGGCAAGCUAGAGUAUGGCAGAGGGUGGUGGAAUUUCCUGUGUAG